GAUGAACGCUGGCGGCGUGCCUAAUACAUGCAAGUCGAACGAACGGGCCCGACGCUUGCUUGUUGGUUGUUAGCGGCGGACGGGUGUGUAACGCGUGUAUAACCUACCUAUAAUACUGGUAUCACUUCGGGACACCGGCUCUUAUCCCGUAUAAUCUUUUGCACCGCAUUGUUCAAAGGUAAGAUACGGUCUUGCUGUCACUUAUAGAUGGAUCCGCGCUGCAUUAGCUAGUUGGUAAGUUAACGGCUUACCACGGCAACGAUGCAUAGCCGAACUGAGAGAGUGGUCGGCCACCUGAGAGGUUAGACGCGGUCAAGACGCCUAAGAGAGGCACCAGUCGGGAAUCUUACGCAGUGGGCGAAAGUAUGACGGAGCAAGGCGGAGUGAGAGAUGACGGUCUCCGGAGCGUAAUACUCUGCUAUUGGGUAAGAACAGAUGUGUCAGUAAAUGUGCCCAUCUUGACGGUACCGAAUCAGAAAGCACCGGCUAACUACGUG
RNAcentral lists this ribosomal RNA (497 nucleotides) under uncultured bacterium. RNAcentral describes it as "partial 16S ribosomal RNA". It matches the Rfam family "Bacterial small subunit ribosomal RNA", at positions 28 to 507 of the family's 1533-position model. The record is from RNAcentral.